This 468-nucleotide ribosomal RNA is filed under the name uncultured bacterium. Its description in RNAcentral is "partial 16S ribosomal RNA". It matches the Rfam family "Bacterial small subunit ribosomal RNA", at positions 28 to 507 of the family's 1533-position model. The record is from RNAcentral.
GACGAACGCUGGCGGCGUGCUUAACACAUGCAAGUCGAACGGAAAGGCCCUGCUUUUGUUGGGUGCUCGAGUGGCGAACGGGUGAGUAACACGUGAGUAACCUGCCCUUGACUUUGGGAUAACUUCAGGAAACUGGGGCUAAUACCGGAUAGGAGCUCCUGCUGCAUGGUGGGGGUUGGAAAGUUUCGGCGGUUGGGGAUGGACUCGCGGCUUAUCAGCUUGUUUGUGGGGUAGUGGCUUACCAAGGGUUUGACGGGUAGCCGGCCUGAGAGGGUGACAGGCCACAAUGGGACUGAGAGACGGCACAGACUCCAACGGGAGGCAGCAGUGGGGAAUAUUGCAAAAUGGGCGGAAGCCUGAUGAAGAAACGCCGCGUGCGGGAUGACGGCCUUCGGGUUGUAAACCGAUUUAGCCGGUGACGAAGAGUGAGUGACGGUAAUGGGUAAAGAAGCACCGGCUAACUACGUG